UUAGGCAACCGCUGCAAGUAUUUCCUUGUAGAGGAAAGUCCAUGCUCACACUAUCUGAGAUGAUAGUAGUGUUUGUGUCGAUUUAAUCAAUAAGGUCGAGCAUAGACGGCGAAGAAGACUCCUAAGGCUUGCUAUGGACAAUUCUUCCUAAGGUGCCACAGUGACGUAGCUUAUUAAGAAAUUAAUAAGGUGGAACGAGGUAAACCCCACAAGUGAGAAACCCAAAUUUGGUAGGGGAAUCCAAAAACUUGAAAUGAAAAGUUUAGGGACGGUAUGACCGUAGAUAAAUGGUUGCCCUUGGAAACAAGACAGAACAUGGCUUAUU
RNAcentral lists this RNase P RNA (325 nucleotides) under bovine gut metagenome. RNAcentral's name for it is "Bacterial RNase P class B". It matches the Rfam family "Bacterial RNase P class B". From Rfam's summary of the family: Ribonuclease P (RNase P) is a ubiquitous endoribonuclease, found in archaea, bacteria and eukarya as well as chloroplasts and mitochondria. Its best characterised activity is the generation of mature 5'-ends of tRNAs by cleaving the 5'-leader elements of precursor-tRNAs. The record is from RNAcentral.